GUCCAGAUGACGUGUCCCAAACAGAACGAAAUGCGCGCAUCCUGGAU
This 47-nucleotide non-coding RNA is filed under the name Trichobilharzia regenti. Lineage: Eukaryota; Metazoa; Platyhelminthes; Trematoda; Strigeidida; Schistosomatidae. The record is from RNAcentral.